RNAcentral lists this unclassified non-coding RNA (321 nucleotides) under Hevea brasiliensis (rubber tree). Lineage: Eukaryota; Viridiplantae; Streptophyta; Magnoliopsida; Malpighiales; Euphorbiaceae. The record is from RNAcentral.
GGAAGAUGAUAAUCGGCACAAAGACAAGCUUAGUGGGUGGCAAGUGCCAAUUUUUCUCACUGAUUUCUCUCUCUCUACUUUCUUCUUCCCUCUUUAUUUAACCUUUUCUGCUUUAUCUCUCUUUCACAUUCAAUCUAAUUGCAUUGGUUUUGCGUACACUAAGCAAAGAUCUCUCUCUCCCUCAGUAUCUGUGUUCCUCUCCUUGCUUUCUCUCUCUUUCCUGUAUCUGUUUAUUCUUUGAUUCAUUUAGUAGACCCUUUAGAGUUUAGAGGCUUAACAAGAGUUCUGAAGAAGGUAAGGCGAUGGCAGCUCCAAAACCAG